UGUCAGUGAAUCGUCGAUGUCCAACGUAAUUGAACUAAAAACGGUUUGUAAAUAGUAAUUUUAAUCAAUACUACUCUUGAAAAUCGCCUUGAAUAGUACACAAAUAUAUUAUAGGGCACUAAAUUACAAAACCAAACAGUUUUAUUGAAAUGCUUACAAAUUACUAAAGUCUAAAACGACAAGUACCUACCAAAACAACAGUAAGGGACUUAUUAAGGAACAUAAUUUCGUGAAAAUAUCUUGGACAAUACGAUCACAAAUGUAUAUUUACAUUAUUUAUAAUUUCAGUACUUUUCUAUACAAAUAUUGUCAAGAACAGGCUUCACAGUUAGAUUGAUAACCAUACUAGACAAUUUAUCCUUGUGCAAGGGGCAACAAAAUAACGAAUUUUCCUUCAAAUGAGGAUAUAAGCACUGAAAUGCUUGAUAUAAUGGCAUUUUAUAUUUUAAAAAAGUUUCGUUAGGAUAUGUUAGACCUCCACGAUCUUGCAAGAAUAUCAAACGGAGCAAAGGCCCUGGAAGUGUUGUGGAAACUAAUGGUGAUACACACACGUCACACUUUAAUUUAUCAUUCAGUUUCUUAAUUAUGUAACCUGCUAGGAACGCUACUGACGCAGAAUAUAUUGUAUUGUUAGCAGGCAUGUUUGUCUUCAAAUUUUGAAUUUUCAUUCUUAACUGAAAAGUUUCAGAAAUAUUUGCCGAG
Molecule: long non-coding RNA, 702 nt
Organism: Zophobas morio
Lineage: Eukaryota; Metazoa; Arthropoda; Insecta; Coleoptera; Tenebrionidae
Exons: 4
Source: RefSeq, a predicted model, not a curated record